Molecule: long non-coding RNA, 868 nt
Filed under: Equus caballus (horse)
Lineage: Eukaryota; Metazoa; Chordata; Mammalia; Perissodactyla; Equidae
Description: lncRNA (ENSECAG00000048616.1)
Source: RNAcentral
GUUACUCUCACGCGCCAGUCUGGGUUCAGAUCAGUUCUGUUCUCUGGUCUCCCGAGGCCCUGGGUUUAUGGGGUCCCCCAGACAGAAGCUUCCCCGCCCCCAGCGGGUCUCCACUGAAUCAGCGGCAGGAGUCCUGGAUGAUCCCCCGGUCGUGCGGCCCCUCCCCCUCCUUCCCGACAUGGGCAGCAGCGAUCGCAGACUCUAGGGGAGGGAGCGAUGUUCUCUCCUACCGUUCCAGCCCUCCGAGGCCUUCUGCAAGGUUUAUGAUCUCCGCCUUCUUGUACUGCAACUGUGGGCUGUUACAGUCACAGCUACUGCUGAACUAUGGAAUGAGGGAUCAAACUAGUCUCGCUGCGGGGCGACAUGGAGAGAAGACACAGGGGACAAGGAGCGUUUCUUUUUCUUCUGUGAAGAUCACAUCUCAAGCCACUACAAACAGCAAGUUUAGGAAUAGAGAUUGCAGAAAUUAUUCAUCAUCUUACUGUCCCUGUAUUUCCAAGUGACACUAAUUUAAUAAAGUCACUUAAAUAUCUAAGCUAAAAAACUUAAUGUUUACAUUGGCACUGCCCAUCUUUCAUUGUCCAUGACAAUUUCUGUGAUAUUGCACCUGAACUACUUCUGAAAGUGGUCAUAUUUUCUCCAUUCCCAAAGUAACUACUCACUUCAGAUUAUACAUAUCGUUCUGUUUUGGAAUUGUUAUUACUGAUAUUAAAUAUCCAGACUUAUUUUUAUAUACUUCAAAGUAGAAACAUGGUGUACUUGUUUUCAACUAUUUGACCAUAAAACAUCUGGCGAUUGUUAUGUUAUCUUAUUGACAGAAACCACACACAUUUUUCUUCAUUACUUCGUUCCCUCUAGGAAAACCCGG